This is a long non-coding RNA of Dicentrarchus labrax (European seabass), 866 nucleotides long. RefSeq lists it as uncharacterized. Lineage: Eukaryota; Metazoa; Chordata; Actinopteri; Moronidae. The transcript is spliced from 2 exons. The record is from RefSeq and is a predicted model, not a curated record.
CAGGGUUUGAAUAGUGAGGGAAAAGGUGAGUACAAAAUAAAACAGGAAGGACUAAACAUGAAACUAAACUUAACCAACUUAACAACACACAACACUCUGUGUAAUCCACUCUUCAGAAACAUCUUUCUUGAUUGAUCAUCUGUCUGAAACAAGGCAUCUCAUUAAGUCCCGUCUAUCCUAAAGCCCACUGUCUUCUGAUUGGCUGACUUAAGAUAGAUACAUAGACUGAGAUACAGCCAGUGAGCACAGACACUGGUAGUUACCAUGGUAACAGCUGAGAAAAAACUCCCCAGACAUCGACGCACAUAAUAGACGGUGAAUUAACAGUGGUACGAGUCGAUGUGUAACACUUGCCAGUAAAGUAAGAUGGUGAACAAUUACAAUAUACCUGUAAACAUCAGUAUGUCAGCAUUGUCAUUGUCCAAUCCAAUCCAACCCAACUUUAUUUGUUAAGCACUUUAAAAACAACCAAAGUUGACCAAAGUGCUGUACAGGAGAAUAAAUAUAAACAGUGAUGGUGAUGAUGAAGACCACUGUGAAGAAUAUAGUCAGUGAUGAUGAUGAUGAUGAAGACCACUGUGAGGAAUAUAGACAUGAUGAUGAUGAUGAUGAAGACCACUGUGAGGAAUAUAGACAGUGAUGAUGAUGAUGAUGAAGACCACUGUGAGGAAUAUAGACAGUGAUGGUGAUGAUGAAGACCACUGUGAGGAAUAUAGACAGUGAUGAUGAUGAUGAUGAUGAAGACCACUGUGAGGAACAUAGACAGUGAUGGUGAUAACACUGGAAAGUUCCCGUGGCAGAUAACAUGGACGAAGUCCGACGGCGAUGAGCUCGAUGUCCGGGCUGCAGACGCUCUUUCACACAGA